UACGUAGGGUGCAAGCGUUAAUCGGAAUUACUGGGCGUAAAGCGUGCGCAGGCGGUUCUAUAAGACAGAUGUGAAAUCCCCGGGCUCAACCUGGGAACUGCAUUUGUGACUGAAGAGCCUGAGUACGGGAGAGGUGAGUGGAAUUCCCAGUGUAGAGGUGAAAUUCGUAGAUAUUGGGAAGAACACCGGUGGCGAAGGCGGCUCACUGGCCCGUUACUGACGCUCAGGCGCGACAGCGUGGGGAUCAAACAGG
This 253-nucleotide ribosomal RNA is filed under the name uncultured bacterium. RNAcentral's name for it is "partial 16S ribosomal RNA". It matches the Rfam family "Bacterial small subunit ribosomal RNA", at positions 524 to 776 of the family's 1533-position model. The record is from RNAcentral.